GGAACUCUCUUGCUUUUUCCAUGAUCCAGCGGAUGUUGGCAAUUUGAUCUCUGGUUCCUCUGCCUUUUCUAAAACCAGCUUGAACAAUCAGGAAGGACAACUUAAGAGUUUCCAAUUAGGCGGUUGUGGUGUCUUAGAACUCAGCUGUUUGUUUGACUUACAGCUGAACCACAAAGAAUCACACAAAGAAUAACACUAUAUAUUUUGUUUCCAAGAGACAGAAAGUAUGUCUAAGUGGGAAAACAUAGCUUAAUUUUUAAUCUGGAAGGAGUAUGGUGCACAGAAUUUAAAGAUGAAAAAUAAAGGCAAGAAGAGGUACCUAACUAGACUCAGCUGACAAAUACAGCAAGUAUGGGAGCCACAGGUUAUAUCCAAACCUUUCUUAUCUCAAAGACCACACUCUUGUCACUAUUCCAUCCCACCUACCUAAAGAAUAGGACUGUAUUUUGUAAAUUGAAAAUUUUAUUAAAUAUUAUUAUUA
Molecule: long non-coding RNA, 481 nt
Organism: Bubalus bubalis (water buffalo)
Lineage: Eukaryota; Metazoa; Chordata; Mammalia; Artiodactyla; Bovidae
Exons: 2
Source: RefSeq, a predicted model, not a curated record